RNAcentral lists this ribosomal RNA (468 nucleotides) under uncultured bacterium. RNAcentral describes it as "partial 16S ribosomal RNA". It matches the Rfam family "Bacterial small subunit ribosomal RNA", at positions 28 to 507 of the family's 1533-position model. The record is from RNAcentral.
GACGAACGCUGGCGGCGUGCUUAACACAUGCAAGUCGAACGGAAAGGCCCUGCUUUUGUGGGGUGCUCGAGUGGCGAACGGGUGAGUAACACGUGAGUAACCUGCCCUUGACUUUGGGAUAACUUCAGGAAACUGGGGCUAAUACCGGAUAGGAGCUCCUGCUGCAUGGUGGGGGUUGGAAAGUUUCGGCGGUUGGGGAUGGACUCGCGGCUUAUCAGCUUGUUGGUGGGGUAGUGGCUUACCAAGGCUUUGACGGGUAGCCGGCCUGAGAGGGUGACCGGCCACAUUGGGACUGAGAUACGGCCCAGACUCCUACGUGAGGCAGCAGUGGGGAAUAUUGCACAAUGGGCGGAAGCCUGAUGCAGCAACGCCGCGGUCGGGAUGACGGCCUGCGGGUUGUAAACCGCUUUCGCCUGUGACGAAGCGUGAGUGACGGUAAUGGGUAAAGAAGCACCGGCUAACUACGUG